AUGAAGCUGUUGAAGCCGUUGAAGGUGGUGAGGCAGACGUACUGGAUGUCGUCGAUGCAGAAAUUACAAUGCCAGAAAUUACAGUAUGAAGAGAUCACUAGUUGGUGCAGAAAGGAUGAUGAAGGAUCCAGCAUUGAUGUUUCAGUCAUAGAAAAUAUAAAACCUGUUGAGUUUGAAGAUGUCCAGUUCGAAUCUGAUGAUGAUACAAAUGAUGAUGAGGCUUACGUAAAUGAUGGCCAUGUUGCUCCUUUGGGACAAGAAGAAUCGGAUGAUGACCAGGGGUUCUUUGUAUAG
Molecule: ribosomal RNA, 294 nt
Filed under: Triticum aestivum (bread wheat)
Lineage: Eukaryota; Viridiplantae; Streptophyta; Magnoliopsida; Poales; Poaceae
Description: partial small subunit ribosomal RNA
Source: RNAcentral